This 72-nucleotide transfer RNA is filed under the name Acropora cervicornis. Its description in RNAcentral is "tRNA-Asn". It matches the Rfam family "tRNA". Rfam says of the family: Transfer RNA (tRNA) molecules are approximately 80 nucleotides in length. Their secondary structure includes four short double-helical elements and three loops (D, anti-codon, and T loops). Lineage: Eukaryota; Metazoa; Cnidaria; Anthozoa; Scleractinia; Acroporidae. The record is from RNAcentral.
UCGGUGAUAGUCUAAUGGUAAGGAUCUUGCGUUGUUGCCGCAGAAAUCCAGGUUCGAAUCCUGGUCACGGCA